This 504-nucleotide ribosomal RNA is filed under the name Eubazus lepidus. RNAcentral describes it as "eukaryotic LSU rRNA". It matches the Rfam family "Eukaryotic large subunit ribosomal RNA", at positions 445 to 776 of the family's 3401-position model. Lineage: Eukaryota; Metazoa; Arthropoda; Insecta; Hymenoptera; Braconidae. The record is from RNAcentral.
GUAUCAUUUAANNGCCGAAUGUCGUCGGCGUGCACUUCUCCCCUAGUAGGACGUCGCGACCCGUUGGGUGUCGGUCUACGCCCCAGAUGGUAGUCUUUGAUGUUAGCCGCAAGGUAUUAUAUUGAAGACCRCUGGUGUUUUCUGGCCGGCUGCCCGGCGGUAUACGCACGGUAUUAAGCCGCUAUUAUGCGUCAAACUCGCCACAAGCGCGGUCAGUGUUUUGGUAUACGGACUUUGUGCCGUCGCUAAGCCUGAUCAGCUGUUAGUUGURCGAUGUUCUUUGACUGGCUUGRAAUAUUACCGGUCGGCGACGCUACUGCUUUGGGUACUUUCAGGACCCGUCUUGAAACACGGACCAAGGAGUCUAACAUGUACGCAAGUCAUUGGGAUUUAUUUUUUAAUGAAAACCUAAAGGCGUAAUGAAAGUAAAGAUUGUCCUUGCGACAAUUGAGGGAGGAUGAGUUGCGUUACGAUGCUACUCCGCACUCCCGGGGCGUCUCGUUC